AGUGAACGCUGGCGGCAGGCCUAACACAUGCAAGUCGAACGGCAGCACAGUAAGAGCUUGUUCUUACGGGUGGCGAGUGGCGGACGGGUGAGGAAUACAUCGGAAUUUACUUUUUCGAGGGGGCUAACGUAGGGACACUUACGCCAAUACCGCAUACGACCUACGGGUGAAAGCAGGGGAUCUUCGGACCUCGCGCGAUCGAAUGAGCCGAGGUCGGAUUAGCUAGUUGGUGGGGUAAAGGCCCACCAAGGCGACGAUCCGUAGCUGGUCUGAGAGGAUGAUCAGCCACACUGGAGCUGAGACACGGUCCAGACUCCUACGGGAGGCAGCAGUGGGGAAUAUUGGACAAUGGGCGCAAGCCUGAUCCAGCCAUACCGCGUGGGUGAAGAAGGCCUUCGGGUUGUAAAGCCCUUUUGUUUGGAAAGAAGAGCAGCAAGUUAAUACCCCGCUGUUCUGACGGUACCCAAAGAAUAAGCACCGGCUAACUUCGUG
Molecule: ribosomal RNA, 492 nt
Filed under: uncultured bacterium
Lineage: Bacteria
Description: partial 16S ribosomal RNA
Rfam family: Bacterial small subunit ribosomal RNA
Source: RNAcentral